Molecule: long non-coding RNA, 1858 nt
Organism: Heterocephalus glaber (naked mole-rat)
Lineage: Eukaryota; Metazoa; Chordata; Mammalia; Rodentia; Bathyergidae
Source: Ensembl
CUCUGCUGCCCUGCCUGGCUCGGAUGGAAAGGACUGAGGAAGGAGGCCUCCAACCAGAAGGAGAGCUGCUCGCUCAGGGCUGGAGAAUGGGCUUCGGGGCCACCCUGUCUCCCAGCUGACCUGCGAGACACACUCCCAAGUGGCAACCCGGUCGGAGGCCGCCGCAGGGUCUGUGAGCGCUCCGGCGCCGUCAGCUCCCCGCUGACGGACCUACAGGGCUCUGCUCUGCAGACUGCUCCGUGCCGGCCCCAGCCUCGGAAACUCUCCAAGGAGCUGCCGACGCAGUGAUGAGCCAGCUCGGGCUUGGAACCCAACCGGGCUAUUUUUAAAAGCUGUCUCCCAAAGCGACGCUGUGACACAGAGCAAGCUGCGUGCAGAGGAGACGCGGCCCAGCCUGUGAGGAUCUCCAGACCUCACGUCAGCUGAGGUCGGGAAUACCAAAGGAGGAAGACAGGCUUCUGAGAGGUCAAGAUUUACUGGACUGUAUACAAUUCAAAAAUUUGUACCUAUUCAGGUUUGGGAACAGUAUUAACCUAGGAAUGCUUAAGCAGAAGAAGUGUGGAAAACAAGCCUGAAAAUAUUCCCCUCUGAAGGACGAGAUCUUUGAACUGCUGUGCGAGGUUUGUUUAUUUAUCACGAAGUUAACUACCCAGUGUCUUGCCAUCUGCUCAGUGGAACUCAUCUGGGUCCAGUUCAAAUAUCUCCCUCCUUUCUGCUUCGUCCUCCACUUCCCUUCUUCCCUUCCUUUCUCGUUCCUUUCUUUCCAAAUGGGAAUAUCUGAAUGCACAAGGUGUCACGCUUGGAAAAAUCCACGAUGCACUCAACCUCAUUUUGUCUCGUACUAGUGUGUACCAGGAAUUUCAGAUGACUCGGACAAGCUGUGGUUGAUUGACGAUUGACUAUGAGAUACACGAUUAGGCCUCAUAGCUUCCAGAGGAUGUGCCCUUCCUUUCUGACAUCAGUGUCACGACUGUGGCCAGACCGAGAUUCUCCCACGCCGAGCACAGCAUGGGCACCAUUCUCCAGGACUUCACAAAGCCCCUUCCGGCCGGAUUCAUUCUCAGCCCCCGCCAACCUCCGGGCCCUGCUGUGAGAGGGCCCUUCCCUCUCUCCUCAAGCUUGCAUCGCGCAUGCUCUGGUGAAGCAUUGGAAGUGCCGGCUUUAGAGGCUGUUCUGUGGCGUCUGUUCUCUGGACAGCACCCUGAGAGUUACUUACCUCCAGUGAAAUCUGCCGGGAGGUAAACAUCUUAAUCCAUUCACAGUCCAUGCCACCAUAUUUCAGCCUCAGCACGGGGCCAAAAAUAAUGGAGCCAGCAGGCCAUGGACCGAAACCUCUGAAAUUGUGCACCAAAACAAAUACUUCUCCUUAUCUCUGCCUCGGUCCCCAAGCAGCACUGGAUGGGAAUCACAUGAGGACACAGCGUCCUGGCUGUGAAUUUGCCUGGCUGUGUCAUCCCCCUUCAGACUGAGGACACCAAGAUAAGAGCAACUAAAGUAAUCUGCAGGGUUUGCAGGGACAUGCAACCACAGCUUUUACAACGAGCAGUUCCAGACUCCCUGGAAUGUCCCCAGCCAUUGUCCUGAUCCCACAGCCACCUUGGAUUCCAGAAAAAGCAGAGCCUCUCCGACUACCCCACGAUGAGGUCACCCUCCAAGUAGGAGCAUUCAGAGCACGGCGAACCAGGGCCGCCCCUCAUCGGAAGCCACCCCAGGAACAGAAGGACCCCUGGGUCUCCCAGGACCUCCCAGCACCAGUCCUGGGCACCCAUGCGCCUGCCCACGGCUUGACCAGAACGGUCUAAACUGACAGUGAUGUAAAUCCCCACCUCUUACCUUGGUUCCCCUUUGCUAGAAAACC